AUAUUUAUUACACAAAUUGUCUGAGAAACUGCUGCUGUCAUGCAAGAGUUUACUCAAUCUAGGUGCUUGGAACUCAUGAUAGGGGCUUUAUAACAAAUGAGAAUGAAGCUCCGUCAAUUUUGACACAACUGUUGGAGAUGAUGAGUAUUGGAUGGAGAAGCUCAGGGAACAAGAAAUGAGGAUACACGUACGUGAAUGAACUUGACCAACACCUUAUAAUUCAACUGGUGGAAAUCAUGUAGCUCCCCUGCGCACAUGAAGUCGCAUGUGAACCAAGGACAUAACACAUGGAUGCUAUACUUGAUAUCAUUUGUGAAGGAUUGGCUAAUUAAGUUCAUUGUCGUAGGAGGAGCUGAAUUAUCAUUUUGUUUUUUCAUCAGUUGUCUAUUAGUUUAGCAUGUUGUUGUCAGAACUUAGUUAUCUUGGACAUGUAUUCACUGAACUCAGUAGUUCAUCUUUUUCGUGUAGUUUUACACCCAAUGGAUAAAAUGAAUGAAUGUUAAAAUUCUCAGUUUGAUUAUAAAUUUCAGUUAAAUUUGAA
This is a long non-coding RNA of Papaver somniferum (opium poppy), 541 nucleotides long. RefSeq lists it as uncharacterized. The transcript has 4 exons. NCBI's taxonomy places the organism in Eukaryota, Viridiplantae, Streptophyta, Magnoliopsida, Ranunculales, Papaveraceae. The record is from RefSeq and is a predicted model, not a curated record.